UCUUUCUGGACCUCAGGACCUGUCUUAACAUCCUUGGACAAAGACAAGUGACUCAUACCAGUGGGAGAUGAUUUAUAAACAAAUUUAUCAAGUAUAGGACUUACCUUGGCCUUCUCUUGAAAAAUCGGUUUGUCUGAUUUUUCUUUGUGUCUGGCCAAAACUAGGCUGACAAGGUUCUUCUUCUCCAUGGCCUUUGGGACCUCAUAAGGUUGGUAUUU
RNAcentral lists this long non-coding RNA (218 nucleotides) under Brassica rapa (field mustard). RNAcentral's name for it is "long non-coding RNA (BRAP_LNC008029)". The record is from RNAcentral. Lineage: Eukaryota; Viridiplantae; Streptophyta; Magnoliopsida; Brassicales; Brassicaceae.